Molecule: ribosomal RNA, 253 nt
Filed under: Faecalibacterium prausnitzii
Lineage: Bacteria; Bacillati; Bacillota; Clostridia; Eubacteriales; Oscillospiraceae
Description: partial 16S ribosomal RNA
Rfam family: Bacterial small subunit ribosomal RNA
Source: RNAcentral
AACGUAGGUCACAAGCGUUGUCCGGAAUUACUGGGUGUAAAGGGAGCGCAGGCGGGAAGACAAGUUGGAAGUGAAAUCCAUGGGCUCAACCCAUGAACUGCUUUCAAAACUGUUUUUCUUGAGUAGUGCAGAGGUAGGCGGAAUUCCCGGUGUAGCGGUGGAAUGCGUAGAUAUCGGGAGGAACACCAGUGGCGAAGGCGGCCUACUGGGCACCAACUGACGCUGAGGCUCGAAAGUGUGGGCAGCAAACAGG